Molecule: long non-coding RNA, 450 nt
Organism: Microplitis demolitor
Lineage: Eukaryota; Metazoa; Arthropoda; Insecta; Hymenoptera; Braconidae
Exons: 2
Source: RefSeq, a predicted model, not a curated record
UUAAGUUAUAUAUAGAUAUAUACGAAUAUAUUUUGCCGACGACUUUCGUAUCGACCACAACGUUAAAGCGCACAGACGAUUAUUUGAAAAAUUAAUAAAUUUCAGAAGUUCGUGAGUUUUAACAUUUUUGAAAAAAUGAUGAAAAAAAUUACGUUGAUUCUUUGCGUUUCAUUAUUUCUCAUGAUAAUGGCGAGUGCUGAUGAAGAUCUCGACUACUGUACUCCACUUGGUCAUAAGUGUACUGAAGAAAUUUCAUGCUGCCAAAAUGAAACAUCUCAGAAUUUGGGAACCGAUGCAUUUUCCAGCAUUGAAUGUGUUUAUAGAGCAGAAAACUCAGCAUGGAUAUGUGUGGAAAUUAUUCAUUAUGAUUAAAUGACACUUGUUGAUUGUAAUAAUUAACUAUGCUUGCAUGUUCUUUCAAAUAAUAAACAUUUGUUUGAAUAAUUCAAA